CCGCCCCGAGGAGUUCUGCGCGCGCUCGCGCAGCCCGGUGAGUUCCUGGGCCCGGGCGGGGCAGGCGGGGCUUGGGCUCCGGGCGCGGCUCGGCCCGGGGGCAGGCGCGGGGCGCGGAGGGUGGGGCUCUGCUUGGCGGCCCCGCGGCCCCUCGGCCCCUCGGCCCCUCGGCCCCUUUCCCCCGUCCCGUCCGAUGUUCCUCCUCCCCGGGCCGGGCCGGGACUGGACGGAAGGGAAGGGUGGGGGGGCGGCCCUGGGCCUUCUCCGAACUCCGGUGUGGAGGAAGGAAGGAGCACGUGUGCGUGUGAGUGUGACCCUGACCGUGACUGGCAGUGCGAAAGCCGGAGUGAGCCCGCGCCGCGGCAUGUGCCCGGAGGCUGGGGGGGGGGGGGGCACAAACUUUUCCUUUGGGUGGGGCCCAGCUUUGUCCGGCAUUCUAGGCCUCUGGUCCCCCGGGUGUGCCAACCUUCCCGGCUCCCUCUUCAGGCCAGGAGGAAGGGGGGCCGCGGCCUGUCAGCUGACUGCCCACAAGUUUUGGCUGAGCACCUGCAGGGAGCCCCCCUGACCUGCAGGCUCCUCCUCCCUUUGUGGGGGGCCCAGGCAGGCCGUUUGGGGCCUGCCCAUCCCCUCUGGACGCUGGGCCACUGCCCCGGCGCCCCCAGUGUGCAGAGACCUCCGGGCUUGGGCCAGCACCCUCCCAAUGGUGCCCGGCUCCUGAAGCACCUCUGGGGGUGCUGUGCCAGGCACUGGCGGGGCGAGCCCCUCGCCUUGGCUCAGGGAAGCAGCCUCUACACUGACAAGUUAAUGCAAAAGUCUGGCCGCCGGGAGGGGGGCCGCCGGGGGCGUGGGGGGCACCGAGGGGCUGCCGUGACCCGGCUGAGCCUCGAGAGCUGCCAAAACUUCACCAGGGCUGUGCUGAGGAAGUGCCAGGCCGCUGGCUGGAGAGCCGGGAAAGGACUGGCUCCUACCGGCAGGAGGGGGCCAGUGCAUGCCAGGAGCCCUCCUGGUCUCCAGCCCGGCCUGGGCACAUCCCUGUCUUUUUCUGCCUCUUGGAUGCCUUUCCUGCGUGGUGCCCACUCGGGCUUGCUCUGCCUUUGUUCUGUGUCUCUGGGCCUGGCUAGUGGCCAGUCGGGGCAUUCCAGAGGGCCCGGAGUGGCUGCCCCUCCUCUGACAUUCCUGCCUGCCUGUUGGGACCCCUCCCUCCAGAAAGGGGUGAUUGGGGGUGGCUGCUCCCCUCCCCCUUACAUGCCAGGGACUGCUGCCACCCACUCUGCCCAGGGGGAGGGGCCCAGGCCCUUUUUUGGUGCUUUCUGCUUUUCUGAAGUUGGAUUCCAUAGAAAGUUUGAGCGAAGCCAACCCGACUGUCAGGGCCAAGGGAAGCCCCAGAGCAAAGCCCCCCGGGGAGAACCCUGA
This 1413-nucleotide long non-coding RNA is filed under the name Monodelphis domestica (gray short-tailed opossum). RNAcentral's name for it is "lncRNA (ENSMODG00000047083.1)". Lineage: Eukaryota; Metazoa; Chordata; Mammalia; Didelphimorphia; Didelphidae. The record is from RNAcentral.